GUGGACUUCGGUCUUUAUCUGGCCAAUGAUAAGAAACUAAGGCCAAAAAGUGUGAUUAGCUCUGAUCCAAGAGUACUUGAUGAAGGGCCUGCAAUUGAUCUGGAAUUGAGUCUUUCCAGUAGUGCUGCUGAAUCUGAUGUUACCAGUUUGCAUCUGACCUCCACUUCACCUCAAAGUGUCAUAAAGGUGCCACAUGGUUUUGGUGGAGUUCGUCAGACUCAUGAAGUAUCAGUGGUUUCUCAUUGGAAGACCAGUAGCAUUUUUCAUCCGUUACAUGUGCCACAGGACGAAGGGUCUAGUUACUUCUCGAAACAGGUGACAAAAGAAAUUGAGCCAUCUUCAGUCUCUCCUGAUCCUUCCUCAAGUAUAGUAACAAAUCAAAAUAGCUCAGUCACUUGUACUUCCGGAACAAAGAAGCAGCAACGCAACAGUGUCAUCAAACAAUGUCAGUUCAAGGAUUGUGUUAAAGGAGCAAGGGGUGCUUCCGGCUUUUGCAUUGCCCAUGGUGGAGGACGUAGGUGUCAAAAACCAGACUGCCAUAAGGGAGCUGAAGGUCGAACUGCCUUUUGUAAAGCCCAUGGCGGUGGUCGGCGGUGUAAAUUCCUUGAUUGUACCAAGAGUGCAGAAGGACG
Molecule: unclassified non-coding RNA, 632 nt
Filed under: Hevea brasiliensis (rubber tree)
Lineage: Eukaryota; Viridiplantae; Streptophyta; Magnoliopsida; Malpighiales; Euphorbiaceae
Source: RNAcentral